ACGACCUUGCUUGAACAAGAUUUGUACUAUAGACUCGUACUAUUGUGUCCUUCAUUUCUAAGGAGACAAGAACAAUAUAAGUCUGGUGAAUGACACAUGACUGUGUGAUCAAAGCAUGAUUAACGAUUAGAAUAUCUUGUGCUCAUCAUCCUCAGGUGUGAAGGAUCAUUCUCAGCCAGUAAUACUGGUUGGGGUGGCCGCACGAUUGUCUGACAUACU
This 219-nucleotide small nucleolar RNA is filed under the name Trifolium pratense (red clover). RNAcentral's name for it is "snoRNA Plant_U3". It matches the Rfam family "Plant small nucleolar RNA U3". From Rfam's summary of the family: Small nucleolar RNAs (snoRNAs) are involved in the processing and modification of rRNA in the nucleolus. There are two main classes of snoRNAs: the box C/D class, and the box H/ACA class. The record is from RNAcentral. Lineage: Eukaryota; Viridiplantae; Streptophyta; Magnoliopsida; Fabales; Fabaceae.